Molecule: small RNA, 391 nt
Filed under: Ostreid herpesvirus 1
Lineage: Duplodnaviria; Heunggongvirae; Peploviricota; Herviviricetes; Herpesvirales; Malacoherpesviridae
Description: 74.9snc
Source: RNAcentral
AUGGGUAUAUUGAGUGAACACAAAUUAAUUCCUUGCCGCUCUUAAAUAUUCUAUUUUCCAUAGACAUUUAAAAUAUGCCUGGCAAUGAAGUUGUCUUAAACAAUGAUCCCUGGCGAUACUCUCAUAGACAUUAAAAUCUGCCUGUCAGGGAAGUCGUCUUGAUUUAACAAAUAUCAUAGAAUUAACAUUGAGAGAUGAUACAAAAACCUCAAGACUCACGACCCCAGCGUAUACUUUGUUGUGCGUGUGGUGAUAAUGACAAUGUAUAUGCUAGGGAAAUGAGUUGACCCCUGAUUUUUGGGUUCAUUAUGACGUCAUGAGGUCAACUUUAACAUGGGACCCUAUGGAACUUCCGGUUGACCUUUGGGGUCAUUAGGUGUAAAAUACAAGU